GGGAGUCACUGUUCAAACAUACUUUUCAAAGUCUGAUCGAAAUAUCAAAACUUACAUUUCAAGGAGGAGCGAAACUGUUACUGAACUAUACAAAGAAAAGGAACUUUAAUAUUCAGCACACUGCAAUACAUGACACUGACACAUUACUUCAUUCAGCAUGCAGUCACUGCAUCUAUGUGUCUUUUCACUACUAUAUAUUUUCAUUAUAUCAGGUAUCAGCUGUAAAGAAGUCGCUCCAGAGAAGAAUGAACAGUACAGUUUAGAGAACAGUACUGUUACUCUGUCCUACAGAUACUCACAAC
This is a non-coding RNA of Labrus bergylta (ballan wrasse), 302 nucleotides long. NCBI's taxonomy places the organism in Eukaryota, Metazoa, Chordata, Actinopteri, Labriformes, Labridae. The record is from RefSeq and is a predicted model, not a curated record.